UUUGAUCAUGGCUCAGAACGAACGCUGGCGGCAGGCCUAACACAUGCAAGUCGAGCGAACCUAGCUUGCUAGGUGAGCGGCGAACGGGUGAGUAACGCGUAGGAAUCUGCCCAAUAGUGGGGGACAACGUUCCGAAAGGGACGCUAAUACCGCAUACGCCCUACGGGGGAAAGCAGGGGAUCUUCGGACCUUGCGCUAUUGGAUGAGCCUGCGUCGGAUUAGCUAGUUGGCGGGGUAAAGGCCCACCAAGGCGACGAUCCGUAGCUGGUCUGAGAGGAUGAUCAGCCACACCGGAACUGAGACACGGUCCGGACUCCUACGGGAGGCAGCAGUGGGGAAUAUUGGACAAUGGGGGCAACCCUGAUCCAGCCAUGCCGCGUGUGUGAAGAAGGCCUUCGGGUUGUAAAGCACUUUAAGGGGGGAGGAAGGUUCGCUGGUUAAUACCCAGCGGAAUUGACGUUACCCCCAGAAUAAGCACCGGCUAACUUCGUGCCAGCAGCCGCGGUAAUACGAGGGGUGCAAGCGUUAAUCGGAAUUACUGGGCGUAAAGCGCGCGUAGGCGGUUUGAUAAGUCGAUUGUGAAAGCCCUGGGCUCAACCUAGGAAUUGCAGUCGAGACUGUCAGACUAGAGUGUGGGAGAGGGUGGUGGAAUUCCCGGUGUAGCGGUGAAAUGCGUAGAUAUCGGGAGGAACAUCAGUGGCGAAGGCGACCGCCUGGCCCAACACUGACGCUGAGGUGCGAAAGCGUGGGUAGCAAACAGGAUUAGAUACCCUGGUAGUCCACGCCGUAAACGAUGUCAACUAGCCGUUGGAGACCUUAGAGUCUUUAGUGGCGCAGCUAACGCACUAAGUUGACCGCCUGGGGAGUACGGCCGCAAGGUUAAAACUMAAUGAAUUKGACGGGGGCCCGCACAAGCGGUGGGAGCAUGKGGUUUAAUUUCGAUGCAACGCGYGAACCUUUACCGSCCCCUUGA
RNAcentral lists this ribosomal RNA (973 nucleotides) under uncultured bacterium. Its description in RNAcentral is "bacterial SSU rRNA". It matches the Rfam family "Bacterial small subunit ribosomal RNA", at positions 12 to 984 of the family's 1533-position model. The record is from RNAcentral.